This is a non-coding RNA of Potamilus streckersoni, 74 nucleotides long. NCBI's taxonomy places the organism in Eukaryota, Metazoa, Mollusca, Bivalvia, Unionida, Unionidae. The record is from the annotation of a GenBank genome assembly.
AGCUCCGGUGGCCUAAUGGUUAGAGCAUCCGCCUCGGAUGCGGAAGGUCAUGGGUUUUAUCCCCGGUUGAGUCA